RNAcentral lists this ribosomal RNA (413 nucleotides) under uncultured bacterium. RNAcentral's name for it is "bacterial SSU rRNA". It matches the Rfam family "Bacterial small subunit ribosomal RNA", at positions 29 to 433 of the family's 1533-position model. The record is from RNAcentral.
AACGAACGCUGGCGGCGCGCCUAAUACAUGCAAGUCGAACGAGAAGGUGUAGCAAUACACUUGUACAGUGGCGAACGGGUGAGGAAUGCAUGGGCAACCUACCCUCGAGUGGGGAAUAACCAGCCGAAAGGUUGGCUAAUACCGCGUACGCUUCCGGGUCUCCGGAUCCGGAAGGAAAGUCACACCGUGGGUGUGACGCUCAAGGAUGGGCUCAUGUCCUAUCAGCUUGUUGGGAGGUAACGGCUCACCAAGGCAACGACGGGUAGCUGGUCUGAGAGGACGAUCAGCCACACUGGCACUGCGACACGGGCCGGACUCCUACGGGAGGCAGCAGUAAGGAAUAUUGCGCAAUGGGCGAAAGCCUGACGCAGCGACGCCGCGUGGGGGAUGAAGGUCUUCGGAUUGUAAACCCC